CCUACGGGAGGCAGCAGUGGGGGAUAUUGGACAAUGGGGGAAACCCUGAUCCAGCGACGCCGCGUGAGUGAAGAAGUAUUUCGGUAUGUAAAGCUCUGUCAGCAGGGAAGAAAGAAAUGACGGUACCUGACCAAGAAGCCCCGGCUAACUACGUGCCAGCAGCCGCGGUAAUACGUAGGGGGCAAGCGUUAUCCGGAAUUACUGGGUGUAAAGGGAGCGUAGACGGUGAUGCAAGUCUGGAGUGAAAGGCGGGGGCCCAACCCCCGGACUGCUCUGGAAACUGUGUAACUUGAGUGCAGGAGAGGUAAGCGGAAUUCCUAGUGUAGCGGUGAAAUGCGUAGAUAUUAGGAAGAACACCAGUGGCGAAGGCGGCUUUCUGGACUGAAACUGACGCUGAGGCACGAAAGCGUGGGGAGCGAACAGGAUUAGAUACCCUUGUAGUC
This 443-nucleotide ribosomal RNA is filed under the name uncultured bacterium. Its description in RNAcentral is "partial 16S ribosomal RNA". It matches the Rfam family "Bacterial small subunit ribosomal RNA", at positions 338 to 795 of the family's 1533-position model. The record is from RNAcentral.